Molecule: ribosomal RNA, 440 nt
Filed under: uncultured bacterium
Lineage: Bacteria
Description: partial 16S ribosomal RNA
Rfam family: Bacterial small subunit ribosomal RNA
Source: RNAcentral
CCUACGGGAGGCAGCAGUGGGGGAUAUUGCACAAUGGGGGAAACCCUGAUGCAGCGACGCCGCGUGUGGGAAGACGGUCCUCUGGAUUGUAAACCACUGUCCCCAGGGACGAAGAUGACGGUACCUGGGGAGGACGCUCCGGCUAACUACGUGCCAGCAGCCGCGGUAAUACGUAGGGAGCGAGCGUUGUCCGGAAUUACUGGGUGUAAGGGGAGCGUAGGCGGGACUGCAAGUUGGGUGUAAAAUCUACCGGCUCAACCGGUAGCCGCACUCAAAACUGCAGUUCUUGAGUGAAGUAGAGGCAGGCGGAAUUCCUAGUGUAGCGGUGAAAUGCGUAGAUAUUAGGAGGAACACCAGUGGCGAAGGCGGCCUGCUGGGCUUUGACUGACGCUGAGGCUCGAAAGUGUGGGGAGCAAACAGGAUUAGAUACCCUGGUAGUC